GCUGGGGUAGCGAAGCGGUCAAACGCAUCUGACUGUAAAUCAGACGGCCCUGUGCCUUCGUAGGUUCGAAUCCUACCCCCAGCA
Molecule: transfer RNA, 84 nt
Filed under: Candidatus Berkelbacteria bacterium
Lineage: Bacteria; Candidatus Berkelbacteria
Description: tRNA-Tyr
Rfam family: tRNA
About the family: Transfer RNA (tRNA) molecules are approximately 80 nucleotides in length. Their secondary structure includes four short double-helical elements and three loops (D, anti-codon, and T loops).
Source: RNAcentral